GGGGGGGGUGCGAGCGUUKUCCSGGAAUCACUGGGSSGUAAAGGGCGSGUAGGUGGUUUGAUAAGGGUGUGGUGAAAGUCCGGGGGCUCAACCCCGGAUCUGCCGUGCCGACUGUCAAACUCGAGGGCUGUAGAGGCAGGCGGAAUUCCGGGUGUAGCGGUGGAAUGCGUAGAGAUCCGGAGGAAGACCGGUGGCGAAGGCGGCCUGCUGGGCAGUUUCUGACACUGAUGCGCGACAGCGUGGGGAGCAAACAGGAUUAGAUACCCUGGUAGUCCACGCCGUAAACGAUGGGUACUAGGUGCCUGGGGGAGCGACCCUCUGGGUGCCGGCGCUAACGCAGGAAGUACCCCGCCUGGGGAGUACGACCGCAAGGUUG
RNAcentral lists this ribosomal RNA (376 nucleotides) under uncultured bacterium. Its description in RNAcentral is "bacterial SSU rRNA". It matches the Rfam family "Bacterial small subunit ribosomal RNA", at positions 525 to 896 of the family's 1533-position model. The record is from RNAcentral.